CUAGCUGCACCAGUAGCAAGCCGCAGGCCAGCUGCACCAGUAGCAAGCCGCAGGCCACACCCCCGCAGUGUAGGCAGGCAGCACGCUGUCACGAGUUUGGUCUUUCUACCAACGAGCCGUGCGGCACUAGCUACUUUCUCCCCUCAGACAAGUAAGCUAGUCAGCCUUACUCUUCAAAUGCUAGGCAAAAUGCUAGCUAGAAUGGCAAGAAGAACAAAAGAGAG
RNAcentral lists this long non-coding RNA (224 nucleotides) under Ricinus communis (castor bean). RNAcentral describes it as "long non-coding RNA (RCOM_LNC000451)". The record is from RNAcentral. Lineage: Eukaryota; Viridiplantae; Streptophyta; Magnoliopsida; Malpighiales; Euphorbiaceae.